GAGUACUGCACUGGCAACUGUUCUCGCUGACAAAGAUUGCUGUUCCACUUUGGAAUAGCACUAGUCAUUGUUUCUUGGGAAACGCAUAAACAGAACUAUUUGCUUUCAUAUGAGAAGUUACUACAGGCUUUUUACAUCAUCUCAUCAAGAGACAGAUCGCUCCAGCUCCUGAUGAUUUUCUACCUUGGAUGCACUUUCUCCGGCUGUUGAAUGCACCUGACUUGUCCUUGACAAUCUUUCACCCAGUCGUAAACUCUACUGGGUGCAGCUUCUGUGAGGUCAAGAACUACGUCUGCAUCUUUCAACUGCAACACACUCAUAAUCCCAGUUCAAAUUGUGUCGGCAGAGAAUCCUCUCCACGCCUUAGAACGUCAUCUCUUGGAAUGAAGGCAGUGGCAACAUGGCAGCCAGGACACACAGGAGAGUGGAAUUUAGGAGAAUUGACUUCAGAAGUAUUUACCAAUGGCAUGGUGAAAGAUCCAACUUCCUAGAUUUUGUUUCCAAGAGCUUCAACCUUUUUGAUGUGCUGAACGUCAUCUAUAACAGGAAGCACACAGACAUGGACACAAAUUCCUUGAGACAUCCUGACAAGGCUCAGCUAGCAAAGGUGAAAGUGAAGUCGAUGUGAGAAUCCCCUUCCCAGCUUUCAGUGAGCACCGACCUUUCAGUGGGGCAGAAAUGAAAUCUCCCACCGGCACAUACUGUUGGCUUUAGGUCUCUACUAGAAUUGUUACAGGCUUGGGAACAUAACAUUUAUUUUAAUCUAAUAGAAACUUCCAUAAAGAUCACAGAUGAGUUUCCUUUUGUGCAUAAGUGCUCUCUCUGCAGAUUAAAACAUGAUAACUGCAUUGAAAGAUUGUCUCUAUACCUAUAGGUUCACAAUACAGUAGACCUUGCCUGUAUGUUUCCGUGUAUGCAUAAAGUAAUCUGUAUCUUGAAAUAGAAUCAGAUUAUCCGGG
Molecule: long non-coding RNA, 959 nt
Filed under: Chinchilla lanigera (long-tailed chinchilla)
Lineage: Eukaryota; Metazoa; Chordata; Mammalia; Rodentia; Chinchillidae
Description: lncRNA (ENSCLAG00000027240.1)
Source: RNAcentral